CCUACGGGAGGCUGCAGUGGGGAAUAUUGGGCAAUGGGCGCAAGCCUGACCCAGCAACGCCGCGUGAAGGAAGACGGCUUUCGGGUUGUAAACUUCUUUUAAGCGGGAAGAGCAGAAGACGGUACCUCUUGACUAAUCCACGGCUAACUACGUGCCAGCAGCCGCGGUAAUACGUAGGUGGCAAGCGUUGUCCGGAUUUACUGGGUGUAAAGGGCGUGUAGCCGGGCUGACAAGUCAGAUGUGAAAUUCCGGGGCUCAACCCCGGACCUGCAUUUGAAACGGUUGGUCUUGAGUAUCGGAGAGGCAGGCGGAAGUCCUAGUGUAGCGGUGAAAUGCGUAGAUAUUAGGAGGAACACCAGUGGCGAAGGCGGCCUGCUGGACGACAACUGACGGUGAGGCGCGAAAGCGUGGGGAGCAAACAGGAUUAGAUACCCCAGUAGUC
Molecule: ribosomal RNA, 442 nt
Filed under: uncultured bacterium
Lineage: Bacteria
Description: partial 16S ribosomal RNA
Rfam family: Bacterial small subunit ribosomal RNA
Source: RNAcentral